UGCGUAGGCGGAAAAUUAAGUCAGUGGUGAAAUCCUGCAGCUUAACUGUAGAACUGUCAUUGAUACUGAUUUUCUUGAAUAUAGUUGAGGUAGGCGGAAUGUGUAAUGUAGCGGUGAAAUGCUUAGAUAUUACACAGAACACCGAUUGCGAAGGCAGCUUACUAAACUAUGAUUGACGCUGAGGCACGAAAGCGUGGGGAGCGAACAGGAUUAGAUACCCUGGUAGUCC
Molecule: ribosomal RNA, 229 nt
Filed under: uncultured bacterium
Lineage: Bacteria
Description: partial 16S ribosomal RNA
Rfam family: Bacterial small subunit ribosomal RNA
Source: RNAcentral